GCAUCAUUGGUCUAGUGGUAAAAUUCAUCGUUGCCAUCGAUAAGGCCUGUGUUCGAUUCACGGAUGAUGUA
Molecule: transfer RNA, 71 nt
Organism: Aspergillus aculeatus ATCC 16872
Lineage: Eukaryota; Fungi; Ascomycota; Eurotiomycetes; Eurotiales; Aspergillaceae
Rfam family: tRNA
About the family: Transfer RNA (tRNA) molecules are approximately 80 nucleotides in length.
Source: Rfam